Saccostrea cuccullata (small rock oyster) is the source of this 817-nucleotide long non-coding RNA. RefSeq lists it as uncharacterized. The transcript has 4 exons. NCBI's taxonomy places the organism in Eukaryota, Metazoa, Mollusca, Bivalvia, Ostreida, Ostreidae. The record is from RefSeq and is a predicted model, not a curated record.
UAAGCACUUUUCGCAUAAAAUCUCAAAAUAUAUAAAUACCUUGGCUUUCAACCCAGUUCCGAUCGAUAGAUCAUUUUUUUUCCAACCUUCCGCCGUUUAUCCGAACCCUCGAGGUCAACCAGUGUAUACACACGGCGGCAAAUUCAAAGUCUACGGAGAUUUAACAUUGUCAAAAUGGCCACCACUUCGGAAGGGGAUCAUCCAUUGUUCGUAAUUUUCCGUACGUCGUCGUCAGUAAGGAAAUGACGUCACACACGUUCGGGAGUGCUCUAUGGUUAUCGACGUCCGAAAAACCUAUAACGCCCGAGACUUCCAAGUAUAUAUUUAUACUACAAGAAAUAUUACUUCUUCAACAAACUUUCAUACCCAGACUGAGACCCAAGGGACCAAAGAUUCAUAAAAGGGUUAGUCACUGCAUAAAGGCAAAGAGUUUUAGAACAUGGAACAUGAAAUUACAGAAAUUCCAGAUUUUUUCCAAACCUAAAAAACUGUAGGGUCAGGUGCGAAAAAUUAAGGAUAUUAGAACAAAAUAAGAAGAAUAAUUGUCAAGUGCCCACUGAUGCUGGAGUCCAUGCUGUAGAAAAGACAUGAAACAGAAGUGAGAAAAUGUCAACAUCAGUCAUCUAUGAAGAUGGAGAUUGCCUCUAUUCUAAAAUUUCUGAGGAAAAUGGUGUUGUCUGGCUCAUCCAAUGAUCACUCCAUUUGCAGAAUACCAGGUUUCAAUCUGAAGUAUACAUAGGAAGAGCAAAAUCUUUCUCAUUCAUAUACAAUGUAAACACUUACAACCUGUGAUCCAGAAAAAUGUCCUGAUUGUUUA